This is a long non-coding RNA of Pygocentrus nattereri (red-bellied piranha), 589 nucleotides long. NCBI's taxonomy places the organism in Eukaryota, Metazoa, Chordata, Actinopteri, Characiformes, Serrasalmidae. The record is from Ensembl.
UGACCAUGAAGCCAACUCGCGUAAAGAGCACCAACACAACCUUCAGCUGGUUUCUUAUUCAAGAACUGAAAGAGAAUUUGAAAAUGUUUCUUUUCCAAUAGUUCUGACUGUUUUCCUCAGUGCCUCGCUCUGGGUCUAAUGUGAAUUAAGCCUGGUCUCCAUCCUGUCAUUAUAAUCGGUAGCUAGCCACUGAAAAGUUCGGUAACCGCUCAAAACGGUUUAUUCUCUGCUCUUUCUCUUCAUCAUCGGCUGUGGCGCUGAUUUAGCUCAAAUUAAGAGGGGUCGAGGACUCGAUUCCAGCGGCGCCGGGCGUUAAUGAGCCUCAGCUGUCGCGGUGAUUCUGACGGUGAUUUUCCAGAAUGCUCUGCCGGCCGAGUCCGAGGUGAGCUUCGACAAAACAAGCGUAGAGCUGCAGCUGGGUCUCAUGGGGCCAAUGCAGAGCGGUGCCGGGGACACGGCGGUCCACGAGGUCACGCUUUUCACAGAUCUCCCCCAGCAGGCGGACAUCCGCAUCACACAGAGUGUAAGACCUCCCUCUUUCACACACAAACACACUCAUACACAUUCAGAUUCAGGCCCCAGUUCUGGA